This 79-nucleotide transfer RNA is filed under the name Diaphorobacter aerolatus. RNAcentral's name for it is "tRNA-Ile". It matches the Rfam family "tRNA". From Rfam's summary of the family: Transfer RNA (tRNA) molecules are approximately 80 nucleotides in length. Their secondary structure includes four short double-helical elements and three loops (D, anti-codon, and T loops). The record is from RNAcentral. Lineage: Bacteria; Pseudomonadati; Pseudomonadota; Betaproteobacteria; Burkholderiales; Comamonadaceae. RNAcentral also lists the same sequence under 2 other names.
GGGGCCUUAGCUCAUGCUUGGUUAGAGCAGUGGACUCAUAAUCCAUUGGUGCCCAGUUCGACUCUGGGAGGCCCUACCA